GAGUCGACGAAGCACCUGAGAACGAUUCUUCGGAUGAAGUCUCUUGUGACUGCGUGGCGGACGGGUGAGUAACGCGUGGGUAACCUGCCUCACACAGGGGGAUAACAGUUGGAAACGACCGCUAAUACCGCAUAAGCUGCCGGUGCCGCAUGGCACUGACGGAAAAGAUUUUAUCGGUGUGAGAUGGACCCGCGUCUGAUUAGCCAGUUGGCAGGGUAACGGCCUACCAAAGCGACGAUCAGUAGCCGGCCUGAGAGGGUGAACGGCCACAUUGGGACUGAGACACGGCCCAGACUCCUGCGGGAGGCAGCAGUGGGGAAUAUUGCACAAUGGGGGAAACCCUGAUGCAGCGACGCCGCGUGAGUGAAGAAGUAUUUCGGUAUGUAAAGCUCUAUCAGCAGGGAAGAAAAUGACGGUACCUGAUUAAGAAGCCCCGGCUAACUACGUGCCAGCAGCCGCGGUAAUACGUAGGGGGCAAGCGUUAUCCGGAUUUACUGGGUGUAAAGGGAGCGUAGACGGUGAUGCAAGUCAGAAGUGAAAGCCCGGGGCUCAACUCCGGGACUGCUUUUGAAACUGUGUGACUGGAGUGCAGGAGAGGUAAGCGGAAUUCCUGGUGUAGCGGUGAAAUGCGUAGAUAUCAGGAGGAACACCAGUGGCGAAGGCGGCUUACUGGACUGUAACUGACGUUGAGGCUCGAAAGCGUGGGGAGCAAACAGGA
This 718-nucleotide ribosomal RNA is filed under the name uncultured bacterium. Its description in RNAcentral is "bacterial SSU rRNA". It matches the Rfam family "Bacterial small subunit ribosomal RNA", at positions 59 to 777 of the family's 1533-position model. The record is from RNAcentral.